UACGUAGGGUGCGAGCGUUAAUCGGAAUUACUGGGCGUAAAGUGUGCGCAGGCGGCAGAGCAAGUCGAGUGUGAAAGCCCCGGGCUUAACUUGGGAAUUGCGCUCGAAACUACUUUGUCGGAGUGUGGCAGAGGAAGGUGGAAUUCCACGUGUAGCGGUGAAAUGCGUAGAGAUGUGGAGGAACACCAAUGGCGAAGGCAGCCUUCUGGGCCAACACUGACGCUCAUGCACGAAAGCGUGGGGAGCAAACAGG
Molecule: ribosomal RNA, 253 nt
Filed under: uncultured bacterium
Lineage: Bacteria
Description: partial 16S ribosomal RNA
Rfam family: Bacterial small subunit ribosomal RNA
Source: RNAcentral